CUCUUAUUUAGAGAGGUGGAGGGAAGUGCCCAAUGAAGCCCGGCAACCGUCAUAUUUAUAUGGCACGGUGCCAAAUCACACAAAGUAUUUACUUUGGAAGAUGAGAG
RNAcentral lists this non-coding RNA (107 nucleotides) under Viridibacillus arenosi. RNAcentral describes it as "SAM-I sequence". It matches the Rfam family "SAM riboswitch aptamer (S box leader)". From Rfam's summary of the family: The SAM riboswitch is found upstream of a number of genes which code for proteins involved in methionine or cysteine biosynthesis in Gram-positive bacteria. Lineage: Bacteria; Bacillati; Bacillota; Bacilli; Caryophanales; Caryophanaceae. RNAcentral also lists the same sequence under 1 other name. The record is from RNAcentral.